RNAcentral lists this small RNA (1277 nucleotides) under Oryza sativa Japonica Group (Japanese rice). Its description in RNAcentral is "sRNA Os01g0187200". The stretch from base 597 to 684 matches the Rfam family "mir-156 microRNA precursor family". The record is from RNAcentral. Lineage: Eukaryota; Viridiplantae; Streptophyta; Magnoliopsida; Poales; Poaceae.
AUCCAAAUCAACAGUAAUGUUCUACAGUUAGUGAGAUGUAGAGAGAGAUAUGGCUAGCUAAUCCAUGAGAGAGGUCUAGAUAGAGAGAGGGAGAGAUGAUCAGUUCUUCAGAAGAGGCUACUACUAGCUAUCUAGCUUCAUGUUUAACUCUUCUUGGUUUGUGUUUUUGUGUGCUUGUUGGAGUUGUUAGGAGGAAGAGAGGGGUGAGAGGUGAGGCUGACAGAAGAGAGUGAGCACACAUGGUGACUUUCUUGCAUGCUGAAUGGACUCAUGCUUGAAGCUAUGUGUGCUCACUUCUCUCUCUGUCAGCCAUUUGAUCUCUCUUUCUCUCUUUCUCCCUCAUGUGUUAUACUGUUCUCUCAUAUCUAUCUUCUUUGAGGUAGUAAUAUACUUGAGCAAAUUAAGCUGCUUAAUUAUUUGUGUAUGAUGAUCAGCUGCUGAUCCGGCCUCAUUUCUUGCAUAUAUGACCACAACCACAUACAUGCUUGUUCAUUUUUUUUCACAAAGAAAGAGAACAGUUUAAUUUAAUUUCUUGGGGUUUUUGGAUCAGUUAAUUUGUCUUGAGAGGGGAAGAGAUCUCUAUGGGUUUUGGAGGUCUGACAGAAGAGAGUGAGCACACACGGUGCUUUCUUAGCAUGCAAGAGCCAUGCUGGGAGCUGUGCGUGCUCACUCUCUAUCUGUCAGCCGUUCACCAUGCCCAAUAUGAUUAAUCUCCUUCUCUCAGUUGACAGUAAUUUCUUUGCCAGAUCUCCUGUUAAAUUUUCUGCCUAGCUAGCUAUUAUGCACAUGCUUAUUAUGAUGAGCCUGCCAAUAUCAUCUCCACGGCAAAACACAAACUAGCUAUGAUUUGAUUCAUUAUAUUUCUUUUCGCUGUUUAAUUAAUUAUAUGCAGGCAUACACUAGCUAGUUUCCAGCUAGUACAAAGACGAGACGAGGUCGUUCUGACGAUUUUCAUAGUCGUCAGAAGAAGGUGUGCAUUGGUUUAAUUUUUGUUCUUGGCUGUCAGACUAGAUCAUCUCUGAAUGAUCAAGAGCCGGAUCAAAUAAUUAUUGUGAGCACCGAAAUCGAUCAUGCGUACUCUCUCUGUGAAGUAUUUCUGAGAAAUAAUAUGAGUGUAGCUAGUAUAUAUACUCUUGAAGGGUGUCUAAUUAAUUGGGGUCUCUAGCUAGCUCCUUCUCUGAAUCUGUCCAUGAAUUGAAUCUACUAUGUAUGUGCUGGUGCUUACUGUUAUUUCAUGUACUACAUAUAAUUGAUAAAUCAAUUUAGGCUUUCAGUUU